UCGACUCGGUAUCGAUGGCGACACUACGAACAGUAGUGUUGGAGGCAGCUUGACGAAAGUCAGCUCUGCAUAAGCAGCAAACAGAUCAGAGAUCUGGGGUGCCUCGCAAGAACUCAACAUUUCGCCGCCCCGAUGCACAGAUACCAGUCG
Molecule: small RNA, 150 nt
Organism: Lasius niger
Lineage: Eukaryota; Metazoa; Arthropoda; Insecta; Hymenoptera; Formicidae
Rfam family: EFASI RNA
Source: Rfam